RNAcentral lists this long non-coding RNA (594 nucleotides) under Pongo abelii (Sumatran orangutan). Its description in RNAcentral is "lincRNA". The record is from RNAcentral. Lineage: Eukaryota; Metazoa; Chordata; Mammalia; Primates; Hominidae.
AAUCCCGCGCGGCUCAGAGAUGGGUUUCUGGACUCGCGAAGCAGCUGCAGCAAGGCAUCACUCACUGUAUAAGUAUUUCCAUUUCUGAGAGCAAAAGGAAGAACUUAAGCGGGCGGCACUUGGAGUGUAAAUUGCUUUGUAGUAUUUAAAGGCAGAAUGGAUCCUGGGCAGCCGAGCUGAUCAUGAGGUUCCUGAGGCCUCCUAGCCAUGCUGCCUGUGCAGCCUAUGGAACUAAUCACUGUUAUAUUUUUAACCUUAUUCCUGGAAGCACUACGGAUGUCAGAUCAAUUUAGAAAGCCAAAGAGUACCUCUGGGAAUGAAAUGGCAGUAAUAUAAAGAAUAUUUGGCCAAACUGUCACUGUAUGCCAAUGAUACCAAAAAAUCCCAGUAACCUGGCAGCAACAAACCAGCAGGACUUCCUGUGAAAUCAUGACCGCCAUGUGCUCUUUCAGCCUCCAUCAAUUCCUACCUCUAAGCACUUGAGAGCCAAAGCAGACCACAGGAAACCACAGACUCAAACUAAACAUCAGCUUUUCCUGGCUCUCAAGUCUGCUGGUCCCUGAACUAAAACACACAUUAUCAACUCUACUGGUU